RNAcentral lists this long non-coding RNA (4460 nucleotides) under Sus scrofa (pig). Its description in RNAcentral is "lncRNA (ENSSSCG00030006603.1)". The record is from RNAcentral. Lineage: Eukaryota; Metazoa; Chordata; Mammalia; Artiodactyla; Suidae.
AUAUUAUCCCAUAGGUAUCUUAUAUUGUUUUCAUGUUUUUCCAUUAGGCUUUCUGUCUGCUGACAUGAUUGGGUGAUUUCCAUUAUUCUAUCUUCCACAUCACUAAUUCAUUCUUCUGUAUUAUUCAUUCUGGUUUUUACUGCCCUUAGUUCAGUUUGUAUCUUUACAAAUGAAUUUUCUAGUUUUCCUUGGAUCCUCCUUAUAUUUUCUAAUUCCUUUCUGAAGGUGUCUGCAUUACUGUUCAUAUCUUCUCUAAUUCCAUCAGUAUUUUCACUAUUUCUCUUUUGAACUCCAGGUCUGUCAGACUGCAGAGAUCUGUUUCAUUGUUGACUGCUUUAGGUGAGUUCUCCUGUUGGUUUAACUGGGGGUGGUUUCUCAGCUUCUUCAUCUUACUUGUUGUUUUCUUUUUCCUGGUGGAGUUAUACUCUCUGUAGCCGGUCAGUAUUUGCCUUGGCACUGCUGUGGAAUGUUUCCUAAGGGCUGGCAUUGUUGGUCAGUCUUCUUUGAGGCAGCAUGGCUUUUCCAGAGGGUGGGCAGGGCUGACAGGGUCUCUCUGAAGCAAGGAGGACUUCCUGAGGACAGAUAGGACUGGAAGCUCCGCACCACUAUGGAAGCAGAUUUCACUCAGCUGGGCAGAGCUUGCUCGGUGUUUUUGGGCUGUGGGGCUCUUGCAGGGGGCUGGCGGUGCUGGGCAGCUGUUCUGCAGAAGUGCAGAAGCCCCUGAGGGCUGGAGCGGCUAGCUGGGCCACUGAGAACCCAAGAGGCUCUUCCCCAGGGCAGCCCAACUCGGAAGGACUGCCUGAGAAUGUAGGCAGAUUUUUCACGGCCCAGCCACACUUGUUAUAGCUUUUCUGGGCUGCAGGGGCUCUUGCAGGGGGCUGGCGGUGCUGGGCAGCUGUUCUGCAGAAGUGCAGAAGCCCCUGAGGGCUGGAGCAGCUAGCUGGGCCGCUGAGAACCCAAGAGGCUCUUCCCCAGGGCAGCCCAACUCGGAAGGACUGCCUGAGAAUGUAGGCAGAUUUUUCACAGCCCAGCCAAGCUUGUUCUAGCUUUCCUAGGCUGCAGGCCUUUUCCCGGGGGCUGGCAGUGUUUUUGGUGCUGCUCUGUGGAGGUGUAUCCCCUCCAGAGAGCAAGCAGGCCAGGGCAGGGAAAGCCCCUUCGGUGGUAGGCUUCCAGCAAUUGCUGAGGCCAGCGCUCCAGGAUGGCAGGCAGCCCCAGGUCCAGCGUGUGCAUGAAGGGUAGGGGGAGGGUAGAUGUACUGGGAAGCACAGCUUUCUGAUAGCUAGUGGGCCAGUGAGCUUGCUGUGGCGUGGGGAGUAUUCUAUGGGGGCCCACCCCUUCUUCUCUCCCCUCCCCAACACUGGCACCUUGUCUCUUCUGCAAGUCCAGCUCUUCUCCCAGGUUCCCCUAACAUAUUAUUCUAUAUCAACUAUAUUUCAAUUAAAAAAAGAAAAAGUAGUGACAAUGGACACUCUGGCUUUGUUCUUGACAUUAUGGGAAUUUUCUCAUUGUGUUUUCAUUAAACAUGAUACUGGCUUACAGAUGUUAACUGUUAGUUUAAAAUGUGCCCAUACAGUUACUAGUUUAUUGAGGAUUUUAUUUCCAGUACUUGAUUGGUAUGAUUAAAUGAUUUCCCUUAUUUCUUCUCCCAUAGGUGAAUUAAAUUAACAGAGCUGGUAAUAUUAACUUAUUUUUCCAUUUCUGGAAUAAGCCAAAAUUAUUAUCUCCACCAUGCUCAGCCAUUGUCUGGGGGUGGCCCAGGGGAAGGAAGUAUGCUUUUGGUAUAAACACCACGGUGGCUUUAAAAGGUUUGGCAACUGAAGUCUAUCAUCAACUAUGCUCCUGACAGCAGAUUCUCUCGAAGGAGAUUUGAGCAGUACAUUUCUACAACUACAACAUGAAUCAAUAAAGGACUAGAAAUCAGAAAACUUGAGUUCCAGAACUAUCACUGCCAACCAGUUAUCAGUGUUAUCUUAGACAAGUAAUAUGUUCUCUGAGCCUCACCUCUUCCUUGCGUGAUAAAGACAGACAUAAUAACAGAGCACAUGCCUCUAGAGUGAUCGAAAGAGAUUCUGGUACAUAGUCAGUGUGUUAUAAAUAGUAACUGUGAUUACUAUUGUUAUUACCAAAAAUUCCUUCAGGAAGAAGUCCAGAACCUAAAAAGUAAAUAAUACCUACCUUUUGUCGUGACUUAACUACAUAUAUACCAGGCAGAUGGUAUUGGCAAAGAGAGAGAGGAUCAGAAGGGAGGAGAGUAGGAGGAAGAAAGGAACUGUGGUACUUAAUUGCUCUUACCACCGUGAGCAACUUACAUUAAAGGAAAAGUCCCUCUAGCAUUUACAAUUUGCUAGAACAAAAAGAGAGGCUUAUAAGGAAGCAGUAAAGUAGCCAGAAAAUUCUUUCCUGGAUGUGUUAAGUUUACUGAGAAGGAAAGAUAACAAGGAUUUAGGGUGCCAGCACUGUUCAGAACAGAGUAGGCCCUUGGCUGGAGCCUUCAUUUGGCUCUAGCACCGGGUCCCCCUGGUGGCAGGAUGGGUAAAGGAAGAUGAGCAAUUAUCAACAGAGCAGGAAUUUAGCACAGGCAAACAUGGCUACUUAUCCUGCCUCUCCCACUUAGCAAAUUUGAACGAAAUCCUUAAUUUCUGGUCCUUGUCUUUUUAAAGAGAUUUUUCUGGGGAAUAAAAGAUAUAAUUAUGUUUAAUUUAUGUAAAGCACUUGACCUAGAAUAGUUGCUUAAUAAGCGUGGCUAUUAUUAUUAAAGCAUAAUUCAUAUGUUUAACAAUGACAUGUUUUCCUUAUAGAACUACUCUCAGAAAUUAUGCUAACUUUUAAUAAGUAUUGACAGCCACCAAAAAUAUUUUUCAUGAAUUUCAAUUGUAGAACUUGUGGGGAAAAUCGGAUAAGCUACAGUAUUUUUCAAUAAUUACACUUAUGUUCUAAUUAUAGUUUUGACCUUGCACUAAAAAAAAGUUAAAAGAACAUUUUUUAAAUAAAUUAACCUCUAACAUACAAACCAGCUGAAAGGACCCUUUUUAAAUAAGUACUAUCCAAAAGCUACCCAAUUUACAACUCCUAAGUCCCAUGUAAGAGUUUAAAAUAUUAGAAUCUAAGCCACAGCCAUUAUAUUCAGAUGGUCUUUUAUGUAAACAUGGAUAAACACAUACCCAGCAGACUAUAGUAGUCAAGUUAGAGAGUGGAAGUUUUUGUUUCAAUGGAUGAAAUAUGCCUGCUUUUGGAAAAUUCAAAUGGGAAGUUUUUUUCUUAAUCUAAGAAACUUCUUCUGAUCUGAAAGGAUUGGAAAGAUCAGGUUAAAAGUUUGCAUGAGAACACGCAUUAUAUAUUUAAAAAGCAAAGACCACAGCUGAUAUCAGAGGGCUUAGAGAGAAAGCAUUUCUUGUACAGCCUUGUAAUUAUUUCCAUUCAGAUGGAACAACUCCAGCUGCUUUCAAAAAUCAACAAAUGAUAAGCAGAAGAAAAAUGGGAAGAAACAAGAGCAUUUUGUAUGUCCAACUGAUAAACACUGGGCUGCAUAUAUAUUAUGGUAAGCAUAAUUAAGCACAGAAUUAACAUCGUUUGUAACGUAGUGAAAUAAGGCAGCUGAAACAUAUGCAAAAAGGUCUCCAACACAUUGUUUUGAUGAUCUAAAUUGACAUUGCCAAGUUAUAUAUUUAUAAAAAAUAUGGACAAAGGGUCAAAUAAUUAAUUUUUUCUGGAUGUAUGUGCAUAGGCUAUGACUAAUGGUCUGAAGCAAUUUUCAUUCUGUUAUUAAUCUAGUUUGAUAAAUCUUAACCUUCCAUGACCCAUGUCUCUCACAGUGUAUCUAAUUACCUAAAAUUUAGGAUCCCAAAACAGUCCUAACACUGCAUUUUAGUAGUUAAAGUAUCAUAAGCAAAAGAUAAAUCUUUUCCUUGAUAAAACUUUGGAGACAUUAGAGUUCCUGUUGUGGUGCAGUGUAAAUGAAUUUGACUAGUAACCAUGAGGUUGUGAGUUCGAUCCCCGGCCUUGCUCAGUGGGUUAAGGAUCCGGCCUUGCCAUGAGCUGUGGUGUAGGUCACAGACGUGGCUCAGAUCUGGUGUUGCUGUGGAUGUGGCGUAGGCAGGCAGCUGCAGCUCCGAUUCGAUCCCUAUCCUGGGAACCUCCAUAUGCCACAAGGGUGCCCCUGAAAAAAAAAAAAAAAAAAAAAACUUUGGAGACACAAAUUUACAAAAGAAGUCAAGAACAAAUUACUGAAUGUUAUCUAUGUUUUAAGUACUGGGAAAUAAGUUGGAAUAUAUCAUUCAUUCACUCAAUAAACAUUUACUGAGCUCACAUUCUGAUAAGCAGGUACUCUAUUAAAUACUGAAGAUAUAAGGGUUAUAAGGAUAUCACAGUAUACUAGCAGUUACAAAUAUAUGUAAAUGCAAUUUCAAUACAAUGAGAAAUGCAGUGACAGCAGAGGGUCUUGGUAUAAAGUGGGAAUACUC